GACGAACGCUGGCGGCGUGCUUAACACAUGCAAGUCGAACGGUAAGGCCCUUCGGGGUACACGAGUGGCGAACGGGUGAGUAACACGUGGGUGAUCUGCCCUGCACUUCGGGAUAAGCCUGGGAAACUGGGUCUAAUACCGGAUAGGACUCCUGCCUGCAUGGGUGGGGGUGGAAAGCUUUUGCGGUGUGGGAUGGGCCCGCGGCCUAUCAGCUUGUUGGUGGGGUGAUGGCCUACCAAGGCGACGACGGGUAGCCGGCCUGAGAGGGUGACCGGCCACACUGGGACUGAGAUACGGCCCAGACUCCUACGGGAGGCAGCAGUGGGGAAUAUUGCACAAUGGGCGCAAGCCUGAUACAGCGACGCCGCGUGAGGGAUGACGGCCUUCGGGUUGUAAACCUCUUUCAGCACAGACGAAGCGCAAGUGACGGUAUGUGCAGAAGAAGGACCGGCCAACUACGUGCCAGCAGCCGCGGUAA
Molecule: ribosomal RNA, 478 nt
Filed under: uncultured bacterium
Lineage: Bacteria
Description: partial 16S ribosomal RNA
Rfam family: Bacterial small subunit ribosomal RNA
Source: RNAcentral